Cygnus olor (mute swan) is the source of this 329-nucleotide long non-coding RNA. RefSeq lists it as uncharacterized. NCBI's taxonomy places the organism in Eukaryota, Metazoa, Chordata, Aves, Anseriformes, Anatidae. The record is from RefSeq and is a predicted model, not a curated record. The transcript has 2 exons.
AAGGGAGCAGAGAGCAACAAAUGCCUGUUGAAAUGCUGAUUGCCUUGGAGAGGUUAAGCCCCUUGCCUCAGAAGGGGAAGUUAUCAGCAGUUACCACCCACCUCCUGCUUAGGUUCACACCACACCAUCAACUGCCCAGAGCUGCAAGGUGCUGAGAGGAGAGGAAACGGUGAGGUAUGCAACUGGGAGCACAAGUAGGACAGCACUGAUGGAGGCGACAGCCCGAGAAAGCUCCAAAGAACCACUACAACAGCACAAGGGUUUUGGUGCAACUGGCAUGUCAGCCCCAGCUUUCUGCACAAAAUAACAUUGGAAGCUGGGGUAGCAAC